GGGUUGUGAGGUUAAGCGACUAAGCGUACACGGUGGAUGCCCUGGCAGUCAGAGGCGAUGAAGGACGUGCUAAUCUGCGAUAAGCGUCGGUAAGGUGAUAUGAACCGUUAUAACCGGCGAUUUCCGAAUGGGGAAACCCAGUGUGAUUCGUCACACUAUCAUUAACUGAAUCCAUAGGUUAAUGAGGCGAACCGGGGGAACUGAAACAUCUAAGUACCCCGAGGAAAAGAAAUCAACCGAGAUUCCCCCAGUAGCGGCGAGCGAACGGGGAGCAGCCCAGAGCCUGAAUCAGUGUGUGUGUUAGUGGAAGCGUCUGGAAAGGCGCGCGAUACAGGGUGACAGCCCCGUACACAAAAAUGCACAUAUUGUGAGCUCGAUGAGUAGGGCGGGACACGUGGUAUCCUGUCUGAAUAUGGGGGGACCAUCCUCCAAGGCUAAAUACUCCUGACUGACCGAUAGUGAACCAGUACCGUGAGGGAAAGGCGAAAAGAACCCCGGCGAGGGGAGUGAAAAAGAACCUGAAACCGUGUACGUACAAGCAGUGGGAGCACGCUUAGGCGUGUGACUGCGUACCUUUUGUAUAAUGGGUCAGCGACUUAUAUUCUGUAGCAAGGUUAACCGAAUAGGGGAGCCGAAGGGAAACCGAGUCUUAACUGGGCGUUAAGUUGCAGGGUAUAGACCCGAAACCCGGUGAUCUAGCCAUGGGCAGGUUGAAGGUUGGGUAACACUAACUGGAGGACCGAACCGACUAAUGUUGAAAAAUUAGCGGAUGACUUGUGGCUGGGGGUGAAAGGCCAAUCAAACCGGGAGAUAGCUGGUUCUCCCCGAAAGCUAUUUAGGUAGCGCCUCGUGAAUUCAUCUCCGGGGGUAGAGCACUGUUUCGGCAAGGGGGUCAUCCCGACUUACCAACCCGAUGCAAACUGCGAAUACCGGAGAAUGUUAUCACGGGAGACACACGGCGGGUGCUAACGUCCGUCGUGAAGAGGGAAACAACCCAGACCGCCAGCUAAGGUCCCAAAGUCAUGGUUAAGUGGGAAACGAUGUGGGAAGGCCCAGACAGCCAGGAUGUUGGCUUAGAAGCAGCCAUCAUUUAAAGAAAGCGUAAUAGCUCACUGGUCGAGUCGGCCUGCGCGGAAGAUGUAACGGGGCUAAACCAUGCACCGAAGCUGCGGCAGCGACGCUUAUGCGUUGUUGGGUAGGGGAGCGUUCUGUAAGCCUGCGAAGGUGUGCUGUGAGGCAUGCUGGAGGUAUCAGAAGUGCGAAUGCUGACAUAAGUAACGAUAAAGCGGGUGAAAAGCCCGCUCGCCGGAAGACCAAGGGUUCCUGUCCAACGUUAAUCGGGGCAGGGUGAGUCGACCCCUAAGGCGAGGCCGAAAGGCGUAGUCGAUGGGAAACAGGUUAAUAUUCCUGUACUUGGUGUUACUGCGAAGGGGGGACGGAGAAGGCUAUGUUGGCCGGGCGACGGUUGUCCCGGUUUAAGCGUGUAGGCUGGUUUUCCAGGCAAAUCCGGAAAAUCAAGGCUGAGGCGUGAUGACGAGGCACUACGGUGCUGAAGCAACAAAUGCCCUGCUUCCAGGAAAAGCCUCUAAGCAUCAGGUAACAUCAAAUCGUACCCCAAACCGACACAGGUGGUCAGGUAGAGAAUACCAAGGCGCUUGAGAGAACUCGGGUGAAGGAACUAGGCAAAAUGGUGCCGUAACUUCGGGAGAAGGCACGCUGAUAUGUAGGUGAAGUCCCUUGCGGAUGGAGCUGAAAUCAGUCGAAGAUACCAGCUGGCUGCAACUGUUUAUUAAAAACACAGCACUGUGCAAACACGAAAGUGGACGUAUACGGUGUGACGCCUGCCCGGUGCCGGAAGGUUAAUUGAUGGGGUUAGCGCAAGCGAAGCUCUUGAUCGAAGCCCCGGUAAACGGCGGCCGUAACUAUAACGGUCCUAAGGUAGCGAAAUUCCUUGUCGGGUAAGUUCCGACCUGCACGAAUGGCGUAAUGAUGGCCAGGCUGUCUCCACCCGAGACUCAGUGAAAUUGAACUCGCUGUGAAGAUGCAGUGUACCCGCGGCAAGACGGAAAGACCCCGUGAACCUUUACUAUAGCUUGACACUGAACAUUGAGCCUUGAUGUGUAGGAUAGGUGGGAGGCUUUGAAGUGUGGACGCCAGUCUGCAUGGAGCCGACCUUGAAAUACCACCCUUUAAUGUUUGAUGUUCUAACGUUGACCCGUAAUCCGGGUUGCGGACAGUGUCUGGUGGGUAGUUUGACUGGGGCGGUCUCCUCCUAAAGAGUAACGGAGGAGCACGAAGGUUGGCUAAUCCUGGUCGGACAUCAGGAGGUUAGUGCAAUGGCAUAAGCCAGCUUGACUGCGAGCGUGACGGCGCGAGCAGGUGCGAAAGCAGGUCAUAGUGAUCCGGUGGUUCUGAAUGGAAGGGCCAUCGCUCAACGGAUAAAAGGUACUCCGGGGAUAACAGGCUGAUACCGCCCAAGAGUUCAUAUCGACGGCGGUGUUUGGCACCUCGAUGUCGGCUCAUCACAUCCUGGGGCUGAAGUAGGUCCCAAGGGUAUGGCUGUUCGCCAUUUAAAGUGGUACGCGAGCUGGGUUUAGAACGUCGUGAGACAGUUCGGUCCCUAUCUGCCGUGGGCGCUGGAGAACUGAGGGGGGCUGCUCCUAGUACGAGAGGACCGGAGUGGACGCAUCACUGGUGUUCGGGUUGUCAUGCCAAUGGCACUGCCCGGUAGCUAAAUGCGGAAGAGAUAAGUGCUGAAAGCAUCUAAGCACGAAACUUGCCCCGAGAUGAGUUCUCCCUGACUCCUUGAGAGUCCUGAAGGAACGUUGAAGACGACGACGUUGAUAGGCCGGAUGUGUAAGCGCAGCGAUGCGUUGAGCUAACCGGUACUAAUGAACCGUGAGGCUUAACCUUACAACGCCGAAGCUGUU
RNAcentral lists this ribosomal RNA (2930 nucleotides) under Escherichia coli. Its description in RNAcentral is "23S ribosomal RNA". It matches the Rfam family "Bacterial large subunit ribosomal RNA". The record is from RNAcentral. Lineage: Bacteria; Pseudomonadati; Pseudomonadota; Gammaproteobacteria; Enterobacterales; Enterobacteriaceae.